Molecule: ribosomal RNA, 496 nt
Filed under: uncultured bacterium
Lineage: Bacteria
Description: partial 16S ribosomal RNA
Rfam family: Bacterial small subunit ribosomal RNA
Source: RNAcentral
GAUGAACGCUAGCGGCAGGCUUAACACAUGCAAGUCGAGGGGCAGCACGUCUUCGGAUGGUGGCGACCGGCGCACGGGUGCGUAACGCGUAUACAAUCUACCUUUUACAGGGGCAUAGCCCGGGGAAACCCGGAUUAAUAUCCCAUGGUAUCAAGACAUGGCAUCAUGAUUUGAUUAAAGUUUCGGCGGUAAAAGAUGAGUAUGCGUCCUAUUAGCUAGAUGGUAAGGUAACGGCUUACCAUGGAUACGAUAGGUAGGGGUCCUGAGAGGGAGAUCCCCCACACUGGUACUGAGACACGGACCAGACUCCUACGGGAGGCAGCAGUGAGGAAUAUUGGACAAUGGGCGAGAGCCUGAUCCAGCCAUGCCGCGUGCAGGAAGACUGCCCUAUGGGUUGUAAACUGCUUUUAUACGGGAAGAAACACCUCCACGCGUGGAGGCUUGACGGUACCGUAUGAAUAAGGAUCGGCUAACUCCGUGCCAGCCGCCGCGGUAA